Molecule: transfer RNA, 72 nt
Filed under: Flavobacteriaceae bacterium
Lineage: Bacteria; Pseudomonadati; Bacteroidota; Flavobacteriia; Flavobacteriales; Flavobacteriaceae
Also listed under: 1 other name
Description: tRNA-Arg
Rfam family: tRNA
About the family: Transfer RNA (tRNA) molecules are approximately 80 nucleotides in length.
Source: RNAcentral
AGCCCCGUAGUUUAAUGGAUAGAAUAGAAGUUUCCUAAACUUUAGAUAAAGGUUCGAUUCCUUUCGGGGCUA